UAAAGAAAUGUGUUGACGCACCUUACGGACGAAUAGGCCCUUUAGAGGUAUGCCGUCGAUUGGAGCCUGUAUCUGGACGAAUUGUGCAGCCAAAAUAAUAGUAAUUUCUUACAGUUUCCUUGAUUUUAUCUUGAAUUUAUAUAAACGUAUGUGCUCCAACAAAAACCGAUAACCUGAAUUAUAUGUUCGGUUCAGAAUAGGCACACUAGAUUACUUCUAUCGAACAAUCAAUUUAAAACCCUGCUUCUGGUAUCCAGUUCAAUAGAUUGUAAGUAUCAAGAUCUCCAAAAUUAUAAAUAGAAACGAAGUUAACGCAUAACUAAAUCAACAUAACGCAUCAACUAAAAAAGGGUCCAGACAGCAGUGCAUCGUUUUUCGGAUUAGGGUUCAUUACGUUUCAAUACCCGUUAACUUAAAUUGUAAGUGACAAUCAUAUACCAUUAUAAACAUUUAUAAAUAUGAAAUAUAUUUACAGUCGAGUCGCGCUACGUUCGGACUACGGAAAAGUUUAAACAAAAUGGAAUAUAUGAAAUGUUCAUUUUCUCAAUUUAUUUCGGGAAAGGCUGCAAUGAAUGUAAGACAAGGUACUUCUAGCACGGCUUCGGAGCCGAACUCGAAUCCCAGAGGUAAAAAGCGUAGAGUUCAGGAUGACGGUGCCGAUACGUCAGAUGAUGUUUUCAUUGAAAAAGUUAGUUUUGCGGAUAUUGCUAAGAACAACUCUGGGAAUCAAACUAACGGUAAAACUAGUAGAAAGAAAAGCGUGAAGUCUAAUGACGCUAAUGUCACAAAGAAGGUUGAGGUGACUCGUAAGGCUCGUCCAGUCAUUGUGAUAAAGCCGCAAGAGUCCAGCCAGAGUAGCGAUGAUACUCGAAAAUUUUUGUACACUAAACUGGAUCCAAAAAUGCACAAGAUCAGUAACUUUAGAAACGGGAAAGAUGGCUCUAUUAUUGCUGAAUGUGCAACAGGAUAUAACGUAAAUGUUGUUAAAGAUGGCAUUCAAAGUGAAUUGGGUGAAAACUACAAAGCUGUUGUUCCCUCAUCGGUGCCAAGACUUAAAGUGAUGGGCAUGUGCGAUCAGUUUUCUUCCGAUGAAUUCAUUCAAAUCCUAAAGGACCAGAAUGAAGACAUCGCUAUCAAUGAAGUGAAAGUCAUCCGUAUGUUUGAAAAUCCACGUUUCAAGUAGAACAAGUACAACGCGGUGAUUGAAGUUGAUAAAAAUACGUACAGUUGCAUGUUGACCGCUAGGAAGGUAAAUAUAAGGUUUGAUCGGUGCCUUGUUGUUCCAGACAAUAGUAUUGUACGAUGUUUCGAGUGUGGAGAAUUUGGGCACGUGAGCACUAAUUGCAAGAACGGCACUAAGUGCUCUAAGUGCAGUGAAAGUCACAAGACAUCUGAAUGCACGUCAACUGUAUUGAAAUGUGUUAAUUGUUGUAAAAUGAAUAACGAACGUAAACUUAACUUGGACGUUAACCACGCAGCUUUCAAUGUUAGUGAAUGUGAAGUCUAUAAGA
Molecule: long non-coding RNA, 1511 nt
Organism: Aedes albopictus (Asian tiger mosquito)
Lineage: Eukaryota; Metazoa; Arthropoda; Insecta; Diptera; Culicidae
Exons: 2
Source: RefSeq, a predicted model, not a curated record